UUUUCUGGAAUAGAGAAAUUAAAAUUUACUGGUUAGAUAGACGCGUUUUGAGGCAGAUUGAAUCAUAGAUAGUCACUGAAGAUGGCAGAAAUUCGGAGUCAACUCCGAUCUGACUCUGAAAACUUCGGAACCAUCUCCGGAAGGUAGGCCCGACCAACAUUUUUUUGGAGUCGUCCGGAGUCGUAGUUGGAGUCAUCCAGAGUAGGACUCGUCCGGAGACGUCCAGAGUCGUAGUCGUCUGGAGUCAUAGACGUCCAGAGUCGAAAUCGGCCGGAAUUGGAGUCGAUGGGAUUAGAUCAAAAUCAGCCAGAAUCGAACGGAGUUGACGGGACUGUCGGAGCCGAAGACGGCCGUUGCUAGGACCCUGUCGCAAAGCAUUGCUGCCGUCGCUACGCCGGGCCGGGCGACGCCGGGCGGUAUUAGAAGUUCCGAGUUUUACCAGAGCUUCGACUAACAAUAACCGAAGUCAAAACGGAGUUGUCGGUGCACUCUAGAGAGCACAUAACUAAAACUGGAGUCGUUGUAAGCUUGUCCUACAACGGACUUCAAGGUAUGAAAAUGUCACAACCUCACAAACCGUUCGAACAUUUCUUCCUCGAUUUUGCAAGUAGACCCCAGAGGCCCAGAGCCGACAGGCCAGUGUGGCAAAGAACUGAAAUAGGCCUAAACAUUUUUCCAACCGGCACCAACAACAUACCAACCAACUUUCCACAGCCACCAUCGCACGCGCGUGUUCAACUAUGGAGGUCAUACACACACACACUGCACGAAAACCGCAGCCCCGGCCGUUCUCGACGAGUCUGAAGCGCUUGGCAGUUCAAUGUUCUGCAUCUAGUGCACAACACCGCACACACCGCGCUUUGCACCGAUUGCAUGCGCAAACGAAUGCACCCGAUUGGCACAAGUGCAGCCAGUUAGCAUAAGGAGAAACGCAACAUCGUUCGAGGGCAACAACAAGGCUCGAUCGAUAAAGCGCGCUCUGGCAAUCGUGAAUCGAUCAAAUAUAUGAAGCUCUUUCAUGCAGGUGCGGGGGAAUUAACUAAACUUCUCCGAUCCUUUUGCUGUGUGUGCGGCCUCCUGCUGAGUGAUAUCUGACCACACGAUAAGGAGCCCAAUUCGUCGACAUUAAACGCCAUCAUGCCAUGCGACGCGAGUUCCUUCUCAACGUCCCCGUGGAGAAAAUCAAUAUGUAAAGCAGAGACGACUGGCACAAGUGGGCAAUGCGCAUGUUUGACAGUUCGAACGAACCCUUGACUCCCCCCUUCGUCGUCC
Long non-coding RNA from Anopheles merus, 1272 nucleotides. RefSeq lists it as uncharacterized. The transcript has 3 exons. Lineage: Eukaryota; Metazoa; Arthropoda; Insecta; Diptera; Culicidae. The record is from RefSeq and is a predicted model, not a curated record.